UACGUAGGGUGCAAGCGUUAAUCGGAAUUACUGGGCGUAAAGCGUGCGCAGGCGGUUAUGUAAGACAGAUGUGAAAUGCCCGGGCUUAACCUGGGAACUGCAUUUGUGACUGCAUGGCUAGAGUUUGGCAGAGGGGGUAGAAUUCCACGUGUAGCAGUGAAAUGCGUAGAUAUGUGGAGGAACACCGAUGGCGAAGGCAGCCCCCUGGGUCAAGACUGACGCUCAUGCACGAA
This 233-nucleotide ribosomal RNA is filed under the name uncultured bacterium. RNAcentral describes it as "partial 16S ribosomal RNA". It matches the Rfam family "Bacterial small subunit ribosomal RNA", at positions 524 to 757 of the family's 1533-position model. The record is from RNAcentral.